Molecule: ribosomal RNA, 867 nt
Filed under: uncultured bacterium
Lineage: Bacteria
Description: bacterial SSU rRNA
Rfam family: Bacterial small subunit ribosomal RNA
Source: RNAcentral
CAUGCAAGUCGAGCGGAUGACGGGAGCUUGCUCCUUGAUUCAGCGGCGGACGGGUGAGUAAUGCCUAGGAAUCUGCCUGGUAGUGGGGGACAACGUUUCGAAAGGAACGCUAAUACCGCAUACGUCCUACGGGAGAAAGCAGGGGACCUUCGGGCCUUGCGCUAUCAGAUGAGCCUAGGUCGGAUUAGCUAGUUGGUGGGGUAAUGGCUCACCAAGGCGACGAUCCGUAACUGGUCUGAGAGGAUGAUCAGUCACACUGGAACUGAGACACGGUCCAGACUCCUACGGGAGGCAGCAGUGGGGAAUAUUGGACAAUGGGCGAAAGCCUGAUCCAGCCAUGCCGCGUGUGUGAAGAAGGUCUUCGGAUUGUAAAGCACUUUAAGUUGGGAGGAAGGGCAGUAAAUUAAUACCUUGCUGUUUUGACGUUACCGACAGAAUAAGCACCGGCUAACUCUGUGCCAGCAGCCGCGGUAAUACAGAGGGUGCAAGCGUUAAUCGGAAUUACUGGGCGUAAAGCGCGCGUAGGUGGUUUGUUAAGUUGGAUGUGAAAGCCCCGGGCUCAACCUGGGAACUGCAUCCAAAACCGGCAAGCUAGAGUACGGUAGAGGGUGGUGGAAUUUCCUGUGUAGCGGUGAAAUGCGUAGAUAUAGGAAGGAACACCAGUGGCGAAGGCGACCACCUGGACUGAUACUGACACUGAGGUGCGAAUGCGUGGGGAGCAAACAGGAUUAGAUACCCUGGUAGUCCACGCCGUAAACGAUGUCAACUGGCCGUUGGAAUCCUUGAGAUUUUAGUGGCGCAGCUAACGCAUUAAGUUGACCGCCUGGGGAGUACGGCCGCAAGGUUAAAACUCAAAUGAAUUGACGG